GCCAGGCACAGGUGGCACGUGCCUGUAGUCCCAGCUACUUGGGAGGCUGAGGGUGGAGAAUUGCUUGAGUCCAGGAGUUCUGGGCUGUAGUGCGCUAUGCCAAUUGGGUGUCUGCACUAAGUUCGGCAUCAAUAUGGUGACCUCCCGGGAGCGGGGGACCACCAGGUUGUCUAAGUAGGGGUGAACCAGCCCACGUUGGAAACACAGCAGGUCAAAACUCCCAUGCUGAUCAGUAGUGGGACUGGGCCUGUGAAUAGCCACUGCACUCCAGCCUCGGCAACAUAGGGAGACCCUGUCUCU
This 300-nucleotide signal recognition particle RNA is filed under the name Saimiri boliviensis boliviensis (Bolivian squirrel monkey). RNAcentral's name for it is "Metazoan signal recognition particle RNA (ENSSBOG00000011937.1)". It matches the Rfam family "Metazoan signal recognition particle RNA". From Rfam's summary of the family: The signal recognition particle (SRP) is a universally conserved ribonucleoprotein. The record is from RNAcentral. Lineage: Eukaryota; Metazoa; Chordata; Mammalia; Primates; Cebidae.